RNAcentral lists this ribosomal RNA (402 nucleotides) under uncultured bacterium. RNAcentral describes it as "partial 16S ribosomal RNA". It matches the Rfam family "Bacterial small subunit ribosomal RNA", at positions 30 to 526 of the family's 1533-position model. The record is from RNAcentral.
AUUGAACGCUGGCGGCAUGCUUACACAUGCAAGUCGGACGAGUGGCGAACGGGUGAGUAACAUAUCGGAACGUACCGAGUAAUGGGGGAUAACUAAUCGAAAGAUUGCUAUACCGCAUAUUAUUCGAGCGGCCGAUAUCGGAUUAGCUAGUUGGUGGGGUAACGGCUCACCAAGGCGACGAUCCGUAGCUGGUUUGAGAGGACGACCAGCCACACUGGGACUGAGACACCGCCCAUACUCCUACGGGAGGCAGCAGUGGGGAAUUUUGGACAAGGGGGGAAACCCUGAUCCAGCCAUCCCGCGUGUGCGAUGAAGGCUUCGGGUUGUAAAGCACUUUUGGCAGGAAAGCGGUACCUGCAGAAUAAGCACCGGCUAACUACGUGCCAGCAGCCGCGGUAAUAC